AGCAGCCGCGGUAAUUCCAGCUCCAAUAGCGUAUAUUAAAGUUGUUGCAGUUAAAAAGCUCGUAGUUGAAUUUCGGGGUCAGUAGGUUGGUCAUGCCACUGGUAUGUACUGGUCUCACUGAUUCCUCCUUCCUGAUGAGCCGUAAUGCCAUUAAUUUGGUGUUGCGAGGAAUCUGGACUGUUACUUUGAAAAAAUUAGAGUGUUUAAAGCAGGCUAACGCUUGAAUACAUUAGCAUGGAAUAAUGAAAUAGGACGUUCGAUCUUAUUUUGUUGGUUUCUAAGAUUGACGUAAUGAUUAAUAGGGAUAGUUGGGGGCAUUAGUAUUCAAUUGUCAGAGGUGAAAUUCUUGGAUUUAUUGAAGACUAACUACUGCGAAAGCAUUUGCCAAGGAUGUUUUCAUUAAUCAAGAACGAAAGUUAGGGGAUCGAAGACGAUCAGAUACCGUCGUAG
This 450-nucleotide ribosomal RNA is filed under the name uncultured Glomeromycotina. RNAcentral's name for it is "SSU rRNA". It matches the Rfam family "Eukaryotic small subunit ribosomal RNA", at positions 569 to 1023 of the family's 1831-position model. Lineage: Eukaryota; Fungi; Glomeromycota. The record is from RNAcentral.